CUUUCGUCCUCUGGUCUGCUUGAGCCUUGACUUGCAUAGACUUUUCGCUUCUCUUGCCAAAAUGGAAACUCUCGUAAUUCACUUUCCCUUUAUUUCCUUCCUUCUUCAACCACUCACUUCCUUUUCGGAUUCUAACUAGUAAUUUAGUUAUUACAUCUCUGUUGUCUGUUUCAAUUCUCUUCCAACUUUCCAGGAAAGUGUAUAUAUUGAACCAUGGAUCACAUAUGAAGUAUAAUUAAGAGAGUGAAGGUGGAUUAUUUUUAGUUAUUUGUUUUUUAUUGUUGUGGCUAUUUUGCUGAUCCAAGAAUGGUAAGAAGAAGAAUGGGGAGAGCUAGUUUCAAUAUUGAAGAGGUUGUGGAAUUUUUUAAUCAUCUCUACGUGGAGAAGCCUCUUUUACCCUUUUUUAUACCUCUGGUUUUGGUUUGCUGGGGCAUUGAGAGAUGGGUUUUCUCUCUCUCCAGUUGGUUCCCUAUUGUUCUAGCUGUUUGGGCAACUAUUCAGUAUUGCAGUUAUCAACGUCAAAUACUUGUCGAAGACUUGAACAGAAAGUGGAAGCGAGUUGUGUUGAAUACCUCGCCAGCAACACCACUGGAACACUGUGAGUGGCUGAACAAACUGCUAAUUGAAGUUUGGCCCAACUACAUAAACCCAAAACUUUCAAUAAGGUUUUCAUCCAUGGUUGAGAAACGUCUAAAGCAGCGUAAAUCAAAGUUUAUAGAAAGAAUUGAAUUACAGGAGUUUUCACUAGGUUCAUCCCCACCUUCCUUGGGUCUCGAUGGAAUUCGUUGGUCAACUUUAGGUGAUCAGCGGUUUAUGCAUGUUGGUUUUGAUUGGGACACGAAUGACAUAAGCAUUAUGCUCCUGGCUAAGCUGGCCAAGCCAAUGGGAACUGCUCGGAUUGUUAUUAACAGCCUCCAUAUCAAGGGUGAUCUUCUCAUAGUGCCUGCUUUGGAUGGGAAAGCAAUUUUAUACUCGUUUGUUUCAACUCCAGAAGUAAGAAUAGGAGUUGCCUUUGGAAGCGGUGGAAGCCAGUCGCUACCUGCCACAGAACUGCCUGGUGUAUCUUCUUGGCUGGUCAAAAUUCUUACUGAGACCUUAGUUAAGACAAUGGUUGAACCUCGGCGCCGUUGUUACUCUUUACCAGCAGUAGAUUUAUGGAAAAAGGCUGUUGGUGGAGUUAUUCAUGUGACAGUCGUUUCUGCUAGUAAAAUUUCUAAGAGUAGCUUGAGAGGAAGCCGAAGGCAACAAAAUUAUUCUGCGCACGGUAGUUUAGAAGAGCAUUUUGAUGAUAAAGAUUUGCAAACUUUUGUGGAGGUUGAACUUGAACAGUUAACAAGGAGAACAGAUGUGAGAUCAGGCUCAAAUCCAAUAUGGGAUUCAACAUUUAAUAUGGUUUUACAUGAAGAAACUGGAAUUCUUCGAUUUCAUCUUUACAAUUGUAACCCCAACAGUGUGAAGUUAGACUAUCUAGCAAGUUGCGAGAUAAAGAUGAAGUAUGUUGCGGAUGAUUCAACAAUGUUUUGGGCUGUAGGACCCAACUCAGGGGUAAUUGCUGAGCAUGUUGAGUUUUGUGGAGAAGAAGUAGAGAUGGCUGUUCCAUUUGAGGGGCUUAAUUCAGGGGAGUUGACAGUCAAGCUUGUGUUGAAAGAAUGGCAAUUCUCUAAUGGUUCGCGUAGCUUCAACAAGUUCCAUGUUAGCUCUUGGCAGUCAAUGGAUGGAUUAUCAAAUACUAUUUCAAGAACAGGAAGAAAGAUUAAUGUAAUUGUCGUGGAGGGAAAGGAUCUUACCACAAAAGAAAGAUCUGGAAAGUGUGGCCCAUAUGUUAAACUGCAGUAUGGGAAGGUUUUCCAUAGAACAAGGAGUGCUUAUGCUCCUAAUCCUAUCUGGAAUCAGAAGUUUGAAGUUGAUGAGAUUGGAGGAGGUGAAUACCUUAAGAUUAAAUGCUUUAGUGAAGAAAUCUUUGGAGAUGAUAACAUUGGUAGUGCACAAGUAAAUAUGGAAGGACUGGUUGAGGGUUCAAUCAGGGAUGUGUGGGUUCCGCUUGAAAAUGUGAAUUCAGGAGAAUUGAGGCUUCAAAUAGAAGCAGUGAGAGCUGAUGGUUGUGAUGGCUCAAAGGGUUCCACUGCAGGCUCAGACAACGGUUGGAUUGAACUUGUUCUUAUUGAAGCUAGGGACCUUGUAGCUGCUGAUCUCAGAGGGACAAGUGAUCCAUAUGUGAGGGUGCAAUAUGGGAACUUGAAGAAAAGAACAAAGGUUACUUACAAAACAUUAAAUCCUCAGUGGAAUCAGACCUUAGAUUUCCCUGAUGAUGGCAGCCCCUUAGAGUUGCAUGUGAAAGACCACAAUGCUCUGCUGCCUACAUCAAGCAUAGGCAACUGUGUGGUUGAAUAUCAGAGAUUGCCAACAAAUCAGAUGUCUGACAAGUGGAUACCGCUCCAAGGAGUGAAAAGGGGAGAGAUCCAUAUUCAGAUUACUAGGAAAGUUCCAGAAGUACAGAAGAGACCCAGUCUGGAUUCUGAAGCAUCUGUAAUAAAAUCUCACGAGUUUUCUAGCCAGAUGAGAGAGAUGGUGAAGAAAUUUCAAUCUUUGAUUGAGGACCGCAAUCUUGAAGGACUUUCAACAGCUUUGAGUGAGAUGGAAGGGUUAGAGGAUUCGCAAGAAGACUACAUGGUACAGCUUGAGACUGAGCAAAUGCUUCUACUGAACAAAAUAAAGGAGCUUGGUGAGGAAAUGUUUAACUCAUCAACUUCCAUGACCAGAAGACCUUCUGUAAGUUGAAAUAUGUUGCCAUUUUAAGCUUGUUUGUUACUAUUAUCCUUUUCAAGCAUUAUCUUGUACAAAGACCUCAUACUUUAAAUAUGUACACGAAUCUCCCAAUCUGUAGCCCAUGUUUUAGUCACCUUCAUGUUGUAUAAUUUGUUAAUGGCUCAUAACUCUUUCGGUAAUAGAUGAAGAAAUUAGCCUUCGUGUCUUAAGAUACUCAGCCUAUUUCUGUUGUUUUUAACUUUAGUUUAUAUAAUGAGUAAAUGUCACACGCAAUUACUCAACUUUAUUAGUGUUUUCAUAAAAGUUAUUGAAUUAUAAUUUCUUUCAUAAAACACACUGAAUUUCAAUUUGAUUUCAUAAAAGCCAUUGUGAUUAAAAACUAAAGGUUUUCAGGUUAAUUUACUGACUUAUAAAUUAUUUUACAAAUAAAAUGACAUUGUUUUAUUAGUUAAAAAAAAAAAAGAAAAUAGGAUGAAUAAAAUACAUCCCUCUAUCUCCCUCACCGUCAAAACCCUGCCUUUUUUCCAUUUCUUCCCCAUCAGUAACCAAUGGUUAGGUAAUUUUAUUUGUCAAAUAGUUGAUAAGUCAGUAGAUUAACCUUAAAACCCUUAAUUUUUAAUCACAGUAGCUUUUGUAAAAUCAAAUUGAAAUUCAAUGAUUUUUAUGAAAAAAAUUAAAGUUCAAUAACUUUUAUGAAAAAUUCAUAAAGUUGAGUGGUUGCGUGUGAUAAUUACCCAAAGAAUUAUGGAUGAAAAGGAAAAUUAAGCACUUUAUAGUCACUCAAAUAUUAACCAAAUUCAAUAAUGUUGGUGCCUUCACAAUGAAAUUCCCUACAAGGCAAUAAGGAUUUGGGUGGCUCAUUGUGAAGGCACCAAUAAGAAACAGGAAGGGUUGAGCAAAAAUGUUGUAAUAGUAACAGUAUGUUGGCAGCAGACAGCUUAACCUAAAAUGUGAAACCUAAGAGAAUCAACUAUCAAGACUAAAGUGGUACAGCUGAGCAACAUUAAUUCAGCUAUUCUUCAAUUGAAUGUAUAAAAGAAUCUUCAAAAGGGGCACAUCCAAAACAAAGUGAAAGGUCUAACAACAUGUGUGCAACCAAAACAAAAGAAAGUAUUAAGAAUAAAAAAGUUAAGAAUAAAAAAGAUUCUUGGAGCAGGAUUAUCAUGUAUGCUAAAAGAUGAUCCAGAAUAUAAAGAUGCUCCAGGCACUGUAUGAAUAUACCAUGAUUAUGAAGCGAAUUGAGAGAUAACAGCAAUCAUCUUGGCAUGACAAAAUUUCCAGAAGUGGUCAAAAUAUUCACAGAAAAGCCACAACAAUUAUACAGUCCACAAUGAAAAGUUUUUGAAUCUGUAACAAGGCAUUUUCUCAGUGCCAAAAGAAAGUACCUCAUUGCCUUUGUUCCCAUAACUAAUGGAAAUCUCUUUCUCACUUUGGAGGGGAGUUUGUUCAGCAGAAAGAAGGUACAUGGUGAAAGAAACUCCUGUUACCAAGCCAGUUCCAUCAACCUCCCAUGUUGCUGCCGCCUUUGUAUCAUGGUUGCAAAAAUCAAUGCCAGGAACAAGACCCUCUACCCAGAUAGUAUCCUUUUGAACUGAUGUGGAAAUUGCCUCAUUCACUUUGCUGUCAUCUCCAUGAAACUUAGAUCCUUUUUCAUCCUUUUCAUCGAUUAAGUCUCUGCCAGAAUUAUAUAAGAUCUGAGAGUUGUUAAUUGGAGAGUGACUGCCUUGAUCCUCUUGAACUUGUGGGAAUACAUAAGAACGUGGAAAGGGAAUGUUCAAAGCACGACUCCAAAAUACAGAAUUGGCCCAAAGGAAAUCUUCAAAACACACCUCCCUUUCUGAAUCCCCACUUAGAAUUAAAAGUUUCUGCACCAAAGCCUUUACUUUGUCAUCAUACAGAGACAGCAACUUUUUCUUCUGUAACAUAAAUCCGUCUUUGGUCACAUAUGCUGCAAGUCAGUUGCCCGAAACAAAGUUGUCCCCUUCAGGUCCAAUAGCUCCUCAUCAGUAAACCAAAGUGGGUUUCCAAAAGUGGUAGGAAGCAUAUCAAGGUACGGUUUCCAAGAAGAGUUCUUUCGAAGUCGCUCCAACGUUAGAAAUAAAAUUAUCAAGAACCUGUCAUCCACUUCUCCUUCUUCAAACAUAGCUCUACACUCGGGUCCAAUAAGAGGAUCUUGCAAAACUCUCAUGGGAGUUAUAGCUAAAUCCAAUGGAACAACAAGCAGAACGUCAUCAGAGACAUUAUUCGACGGAAAAAUACCAAAGCCUUUAUUUGGAUCACAGUUCUUGAUGCUGCAACCUCGCAACUCAACUUUAUUCGCAUCAAGCCACCGGAGGAAUCGUUCAAGUUUUGCUUCUUCUGAUCCCGCCAUUGUUGAGUUACUAGCUGAGUUGAUUGAAUUGUGUUGGUGCGUCUUUUUUUUUUAUAGAGCUACAAGUAGGGUUUAAAGACAG
RNAcentral lists this unclassified non-coding RNA (5219 nucleotides) under Hevea brasiliensis (rubber tree). The record is from RNAcentral. Lineage: Eukaryota; Viridiplantae; Streptophyta; Magnoliopsida; Malpighiales; Euphorbiaceae.